UACGUAGGGCGCAAGCGUUGUCCGGAAUUAUUGGGCGUAAAGAGCUCGUAGGCGGUCUGUUGCGUCUGCCGUGAAAACCCGAGGCUUAACCUCGGGCCUGCGGUGGAUACGGGCGGACUAGAGGUAGGUAGGGGAGACUGGAAUUCCUGGUGUAGCGGUGAAAUGCGCAGAUAUCAGGAGGAACACCGGUGGCGAAGGCGGGUCUCUGGGCCGAUACUGACGCUGAGGAGCGAAAGCGUGGGGAGCGAACAGG
This 253-nucleotide ribosomal RNA is filed under the name uncultured bacterium. RNAcentral describes it as "partial 16S ribosomal RNA". It matches the Rfam family "Bacterial small subunit ribosomal RNA", at positions 524 to 776 of the family's 1533-position model. The record is from RNAcentral.